UACGGAGGGUGCAAACGUUGCUCGGAAUCAUUGGGCGUAAAGCGCACGUAGGCGGUCUCGAAAGUCGGGCGUGAAAUCCCUCGGCUUAACCAAGGAAGUGCACUCGAAACUUCGAGACUUGAAUACUGGAGAGGGUCGCAGAAUUCUCGGUGUAGAGGUGAAAUUCGUAGAUAUCUGGAGGAACACCGGUGGCGAAGGCGGCAUCCUGGACCGACAUUGACGCUGAGGCGCGAAAACUAGGGGAGCAAACGGG
RNAcentral lists this ribosomal RNA (253 nucleotides) under uncultured bacterium. RNAcentral's name for it is "partial 16S ribosomal RNA". It matches the Rfam family "Bacterial small subunit ribosomal RNA", at positions 524 to 776 of the family's 1533-position model. The record is from RNAcentral.